GGAUUCUCUUCUUGGGAGGCAAUGAACGAGGAGCACCCUCACCUUGCUGAGCCAGAAUUAAGUGUGGAGAUCCGAACCCAGUUCCUCCCACAUGCUAAGCUUGGAUAACUUCCUGAAAGACAGAAGUGCGAAGCAAGGAUUAGCAGAGAGGUGGGCAGCCUGGAGACAAGCAGAUACGGGCUGAGGGCCACUUCAGAGAGUCUUCGACAUAUCGCCAUAAAUUGUCUUCUGAGGAGGAAGCCAGAUCCAACAUCAAGUUCUAACAGUGAAGCCUGGAAGAAGAGA
Molecule: long non-coding RNA, 285 nt
Organism: Urocitellus parryii (Arctic ground squirrel)
Lineage: Eukaryota; Metazoa; Chordata; Mammalia; Rodentia; Sciuridae
Source: RefSeq, a predicted model, not a curated record